RNAcentral lists this ribosomal RNA (403 nucleotides) under uncultured bacterium. RNAcentral describes it as "partial 16S ribosomal RNA". It matches the Rfam family "Bacterial small subunit ribosomal RNA", at positions 29 to 526 of the family's 1533-position model. The record is from RNAcentral.
AUUGAACGCUGGCGGCAGGCCUAACACAUGCAAGUCGAGCGAGCGGCGGACGGGUGAGUAAUGUAUGGGGACUGCCCGAUAGCGGGGGAUAACUACUGGAAACGGUGGCUAAUACCGCAUACUAUCGGAUAACCCAUAUGGGAUUAGCUAGUCGGUGGGGUAAAGGCUCACAUAGGCGACGAUCUCUAGCUGGUCUGAGUGGAUGAAAAGCCACACUGGGACUGGGACCCGGCGCAGACUCCUACGGGGGGAGCAGUGGGGAAUAUUGCACAAUGGGCGCAAGCCUAGUUCAGCGAAAGCGCGUGUAUGAAUGAGGACUGAGGGUUGUAAAGUACUUUCAGCGGGGAGGCGGUACCCGCAGAAGAAGAACCGGCUAACUACGUGGCAGCCACCGCGGUAAUAC